AGGGCACCACCAGGAGUGGAGCCUGCGGCUUAAUUUGACUCAACACGGGAAAACUCACCCGGCCCGGACACUAGCAGGAUUGACAGAUUGAGAGCUCUUUCUUGAUUUAGUGGGUGGUGGUGCAUGGCCGUUCUUAGUUGGUGGAGCGAUUUGUCUGGUUAAUUCCGAUAACGAACGAGACUCUAGCCUAUUAAAUAGCGCGCGCCGUCCGUACGGCCGGCGCGGCCGCCUCUUAGAGGGACAGGCGGCGACUCAGCCGCAUGAAAGAGAGCAAUAACAGGUCUGUGAUGCCCUUAGAUGUCCGGGGCCGCACGCGCGCUGCACUGAAGUGAUCAGCGUGCCUUCGUUCCUGCUCCGCUAGGAGUGGGCAACCCGAGGAACCUUCUUCGUGAUAGGGAUUGGGCUCUGUAAUUAUUGCCCAUGAACGAGGAAUUCCCAGUAAGUGCGAGUCAUCAGCUUGCAUUGAUUACGUCCCUGCCCUUUGUACACACCGCCCGUCGCUACUACCGAUUGAAUGAU
This 519-nucleotide ribosomal RNA is filed under the name uncultured eukaryote. RNAcentral describes it as "bacterial SSU rRNA". It matches the Rfam family "Eukaryotic small subunit ribosomal RNA", at positions 1161 to 1697 of the family's 1831-position model. The record is from RNAcentral.